UGAACGCUGGCGGUAGGCCUACCACAUGCACGUCGCCCGGCAGCACAGUAAGAGCUUGCUCUUACGGGUGGCGAGUGGCGGACGGGUGAGGAAUACAUCGGAAUCUACUUUUUCGUGGGGGAUAACGUAGGGAAACUUACGCUAAUACCGCAUACGACCUACGGGUGAAAGCAGGGGAUCUUCGGACCUUGCGCGAUUGAAUGAGCCGAUGUCGGAUUAGCUAGUUGGCGGGGUAAAGGCCCACCAAGGCGACGAUCCGUAGCUGGUCUGAGAGGAUGAUCAGCCACACUGGAACUGAGACACGGUCCAGACUCCUACGGGAGGCAGCAGUGGGGAAUAUUGGACAAUGGGCACAAGCCUGAUCCAGCCAUACCGCGUGGGUGAAGAAGGCCUUCGGGUUGUAAAGCCCUUUUGUUGGGAAAGAAAAGCAGCAGGUUAAUACCCCGCUGUUCUGACGGUACCCAAAGAAUAAGCACCGGCUAACUUCGUG
This 490-nucleotide ribosomal RNA is filed under the name uncultured bacterium. RNAcentral's name for it is "partial 16S ribosomal RNA". It matches the Rfam family "Bacterial small subunit ribosomal RNA", at positions 30 to 507 of the family's 1533-position model. The record is from RNAcentral.